RNAcentral lists this non-coding RNA (68 nucleotides) under Sus scrofa (pig). Lineage: Eukaryota; Metazoa; Chordata; Mammalia; Artiodactyla; Suidae. The record is from RNAcentral.
UGGUUUCCUGGAGCAGCAGGUUCCGGAUGGGAGGCCGAGCUCAGACCCUGCUGCUCCGUGCAACCAGC